This 467-nucleotide ribosomal RNA is filed under the name Neisseria sp. KH1491. Its description in RNAcentral is "bacterial SSU rRNA". It matches the Rfam family "Bacterial small subunit ribosomal RNA", at positions 17 to 473 of the family's 1533-position model. Lineage: Bacteria; Pseudomonadati; Pseudomonadota; Betaproteobacteria; Neisseriales; Neisseriaceae. The record is from RNAcentral. RNAcentral also lists the same sequence under 1 other name.
UCCUGGCUCAGAUUGAACGCUGGCGGCAUGCUUUACACAUGCAAGUCGAACGGCAGCACGAAAGAGCUUGCUCUUUUGGUGGCGAGUGGCGAACGGGUGAGUAAUACAUUGGAACGUACCGAGUAAUGGGGGAUAACUGUCCGAAAGGAUGGCUAAUACCGCAUACGCUCUGAGGAGGAAAGCGGGGGACCUUCGGGCCUCGCGUUAUUCGAGCGGCCAAUGUCUGAUUAGCUAGUUGGUGGGGUAAAGGCCUACCAAGGCGACGAUCAGUAGUGGGUCUGAGAGGAUGAUCCGCCACACUGGGACUGAGACACGGCCCAGACUCCUACGGGAGGCAGCAGUGGGGAAUUUUGGACAAUGGGCGAAAGCCUGAUCCAGCCAUGCCGCGUGUCUGAAGAAGGCCUUCGGGUUGUAAAGGACUUUUGUCAGGGAAGAAAGGGUUUGGGUUAAUACCCUGAGCUUAUGAC